GGAAGAUCCCUGGGUACUACAGGAACAUGCAUUUAUUCACUUAUUCAUUUUCUCACCUGCCGAUGGAGUUGAUAAUAACAGUGACGGCUGAAGUUUAUUGUGUGUAAAACAGCUGCUGUACACAGGGUUCUCGCUAAGCGAAAGACAUUUGUACGACCUUAAGCAAGUCAAUAUGGUCCCUUUGUAUUUCAGUUUCAUUAAAGUUAAUAAUAGCUCACCAGAAA
Molecule: long non-coding RNA, 224 nt
Filed under: Homo sapiens (human)
Lineage: Eukaryota; Metazoa; Chordata; Mammalia; Primates; Hominidae
Description: HSALNT0384472
Source: RNAcentral